This is a non-coding RNA of Meleagris gallopavo (turkey), 3059 nucleotides long. The record is from RefSeq and is a predicted model, not a curated record. Lineage: Eukaryota; Metazoa; Chordata; Aves; Galliformes; Phasianidae.
UUUGUCUUCGUAAUUCUGUUUUCUUGCCUUGUUUCCCUGCUGAAAUAGUUCCUGGAGUGGCAGGACUGGGGAUGUUGGGUGCAUUCUUAUUUCAAUCCUGAGUUGUCUUCCGUGAAACGAAACCAAACCAAAACCUAGCAGCCCGAAGUGAAUGAGCACACCUUUUCUUGAGUGGCUUUUUUUUUUUGCUGUUGUUGCUGUUCCCCUCUGGACUUCUGAACAGUACACUUCAUGGAUCUGUUGGAGCUCUGAAUUUAAUUACUUCAGUGUAUUAACCCAUGCAUGCUAGCAGAAUUGUUACAUUAACUCCCCGAGCCUUGUAAAAGAACGUAAGGUGUUCGAGGACCCUCUAGUUUGGGGCUGGCUGGAAAUUUAUGGAAUGUAUUUAUAAUAGGUGUUUCAAGUGUAUUCUGAGCUGUUAUAAACGGUUCUGCUGCUCUCACUAUUCUAAUUCAAAGGAAUGAAAGAGAGAAUGUAAACUCAUUGCUUGUAACCCUGCAGGAACUGCUCGCUUUGAUAUUUGGAGAAGGUGAAGAGAAUUUCCAUCAUUGAGAAGGAGUAUAAGCAGAAGCUCGCUCGGGUAACCCAGGUCCGCAAGGAGCUGAAAUCUCACAUCCAGAGCCUUCCAGAUCUGUCACUGCUGCCCAACGUCACAGGAGGUCUGGCACCUCUGCCGUCUGCUGGUGACCUGUUUUCAACAGACUAGAACAAAUGGUGUCCCCUAGUUUCCAUUAUUACCAGCAAAAGUAAGAAGACUGUUGACUGGAAAUCCAGUCUUCCCAGAUGUACAGUAGGAAAGAACUUUCAGACCCUGCUUUCAACCUCUUGGCUGCUCAUGCUCACCCUCUUUCUGUGUACACUGGCUCACAAGGAGGGCAGGGUAAAGAGUGAGUUUUUGUGAGCUCUUAGGGGAGUGGGGAUAGUCCGUAUAAGCAAUCUUCUCUCAUAAUUUUUCCUUACUUUUUAGUUUGUUUGCUCUUAGCACUUGUUACCCCACAAAAGUCAUGAGAAUCGUGUACAUAUAUAUCUGGAAAGUGUUCAAAGAAAGGCUGACUGUAUAACAUUUUCCUCUGUAAAACUAUUGUGUUAUUUCAGAACGUCUUGCCUGUUUUUGCUGGGUCUCUGAAGCUCGUAUCUGAAAGCAGUAGUGGCUAGUGGGCUUUGUAGGGGUGCGUGCAUGUGUGUCUGCAGGUACUGUAUCAUGUCAGUGAAGGACAAAGGCACCUACUGAACAAUGGCACAAAUACUUUAAAUCUACAGUUCCUCAUGCUGUUGUAGGCCUCACAUAAAAAAUAGUUCCUAUUUGGCAUGAACAUAAAUUGAAACUCACCACAGGCAAUAAAAAUAAACAGCUUUUCUUUGUGAAUUAGAGAGCUUCAUAAUUUAAGCUCUGCUGAGCCAUGCAGAACUGGAUAUUACCUAAACGAGAGUGGAAGUAAAUUUAGUUCUAGCUGCCUUAGAUUUAUACUAUAUUUUUCCUCUUCAUUAUACAAAAUAAACGAUCACAGAAGCUUUGCUUUAACUGAGAGGCUGGAAUGGUGGAUUGUAACUGGUCAUAUCCCAUUGCAGAUCUGCUCUGAAGGUUGUCAUGCUGAAAGCAUUCUAUGAAUUCUCCCUGUAGCUUUAGUCAAGUUAUUUGAUGAACAGAAGUUAAAUGUGAUAUAAACAUUUUUUUAAUCUAGAAAGUAGACCCAUAUACACAUCCAGUAUGCACAUGUGCUAUAUCUAUGCAUGUAGGUAUUAGAAGGAUGUACUUGAUUUUGUAUCACAGAUUGUGAGUUGAUUUUAUUAUUUGGGGGAAAAAUUAGAAUACUCUUUAAUUUGCUAGCUAAUAUUUUAGCUGCCGUGGAUGUCGUUAGAUUUCAGUUUGUGUGUCAGGUCUAUCAAGCUGGACUCUCAUCACUGAAAACCAUUCCUAUUUGGGAAAAAAGUCUGUUUAAUAGCUCUCCCUAUAGAACACCUGAAUUUUCUGGAAACACUUGGUCUGACAGCGCAGGCUCUGUCACAGAGAGGCUGAAAUAAGUUACCUUGAUGUGCUGCGUUUGUGCCUCGCCACAGUCUUAAGCUGCAGUUAGCAAAGACAUGAGAAGAUACCUAUAGAAAUGCAAAUCUCGGUCUGCAUUCUCAUUAAUUUAUUUUGUGGAGUAUUCACUAGCUUAUUUGCAUUCAGUUAAAUAACACAACGUUUUUGGUCCUUUAGUUGCUGAAAAGCUCAUGUGCUUUUCUUACUGACGCUUCACUUUUUUGUGUGUUUUUUUUUGUUUUUUUUUGUAGAAAGGAAACUUUUUGCACCCAUAUUGCCCAGCCAAGAAAUGUGCUUUCUUUUUCACUUACAGGAAAUUUUACAGUGGCAGAGAAUUAUUUUUUCCAUGAAUUGGUUUGAUCUUGCAACCAUUUGUGGACCAAAUGACACUUACAUAAAGCACCCAAUUCUUUCUGCUUUUGCCAAAAAUUAAAAAGGAAAAAAAUAAAAUCAAGGGAAACAAAACGAUCCACCAAAGCUCUGAAUCCCAAACCAGAAGAUGAAUUCCUAUCCUGCCUCAGCUCACGGAGUUACCCUGAGGUUGCUUUAACCAGUAAUUGCUCUGACCAUGGAUUGAACGUGUAUCCAUUGUAAUGGAAAACAAACGAUCAAAAUUGUCAUAAAAAAAAAAAACGAUAGAGAUGUGUUGCCAUCUCAUGCUGUUGUUUUGGGCAGAUCUCGUGUGAGAAAGUGGUAUGUCUGUCUUUUUUUUUUUAUUAUUAUUGAAAUGUUUUGAGUUUUUUUUUUCCAAGCGUGCGUGUGUUUUAUUUUGCUUAAUUUAAAUGAAGUCUCAUGGGUUUUACUUUCGUUUUACUUUUUGGGCAAAAGGCAUCUGGUGAACUGAGUAACAUUCUCUCAAGGUUAAACAGAUUUCCCCAAGGUGUGUCUCUUUUUUUUUUUUUAAAUUUAAAUGCUAAAAUCUGUAUAUUAAUUGUUUUAGGAAUUAAUUUAGACAUAUAGGCUGCCAUUUGUGACAGCAGUAUAUUCUGAAAUGUCUCAUAGAUCUAUAUUUUUGAAUAAAGAGGGUGUCGUUGAA